This 1067-nucleotide unclassified non-coding RNA is filed under the name Hevea brasiliensis (rubber tree). The record is from RNAcentral. Lineage: Eukaryota; Viridiplantae; Streptophyta; Magnoliopsida; Malpighiales; Euphorbiaceae.
CUGCAAAAGUAUCGCUCAAAUCGCACCGUAGAUUAGUCAUCAAAGUCAAAUUAUCACUGCCGUUGGAUCGUUCUAUGGUUCCCCAUAUAAUUAGCUAGCUCUCUCCAAUUGAUAAGUGUGUCUCGUGAAGUCGUCGAUGUUUUCCAGCUAUUUAUAACCACCCAUGGCCUUGUUUCUCAGACCUGAUCCUCUAUUCUUUUAUGUGAUGUUUGCUCUGUGCAAAUUCGAUUAGAUCGUUUGUCGAUCUAUCUUUUGAUCAUGGCUUUACCCUGUUUUUGCUUGGAGAUCGAUCCGUGGUUGCAGCUUCUUCGUAGCGCAGCUAGUUCUGUUACGAGCAAGCCGUAGCCGUCUCCUUUUCAGCUCAGAUCUGCGAACGUUGGAGCUUCGUGAGCUCAGGUGGCGAGAUCUAUGGAUUUACGACUGGUGAAGAUCUCUUUCCCUAGCUGAUAUGUCCAUCUCUGAGCUUUUGUUUUGUUUGGUUGGAGAUAACCGGCAGUGGAGGUAUAGAGUUCGUAUUCUGUUCAUGACUGCUGCCCAGAAUUUGUGUUCGGUUAAUAUGGAUUAGAUCUGUAUUUGUUUUUGCAUCUGCUGGUCUCCGAUAUUUAUUUUUGGCGUGUGUUGGCAGAUGUUCGAACCGAUGGUGAUUGGCCUCUCCAUGGGAGAUGGAUCUGACUGUUGGGCAUGCUGUGCUUCCGGGUAUCUGGAAAAUUUGGUGCCUUCUAAUCUGACGAUCUGCGUUGAUGGUAUUCUGGACCUGGCUUUCGUGAAGAUUAUUAGGCGACAAAAGGUUGGGUUUGUGGUUGUGUUAUUUACGGAUCUGUUCGGUUAUUAUGGUUUUGUGUUCUUCUGGCUGGAGAAUGAGGUAAUACUAUAGAAGUAGGAUGAUGGAAGGUUGCUGGGAGGGCUGAGGAGAUUAUUGGUUAAUUGAUGUUUAUUUGCUGCUUUUUGUUGCCUGACCUUUGCCAUGGCAGGUGCGCUUGCAUGGCAGGUCAAAUACUUCAAUAAAAUUUUAUAUUCUUGGGUUUUUGAGGGGGGAGAUGGCAUGGGAGUAUAUGGUUUUUUGGGCC